This 762-nucleotide ribosomal RNA is filed under the name uncultured bacterium. RNAcentral's name for it is "bacterial SSU rRNA". It matches the Rfam family "Bacterial small subunit ribosomal RNA", at positions 8 to 760 of the family's 1533-position model. The record is from RNAcentral.
AGAGUUUGAUCCUGGCUCAGAUUGAACGCUGGCGGCAGGCCUAACACAUGCAAGUCGAACGGUAACAGGAAGCAGCUUGCUGCUUUGCUGACGAGUGGCGGACGGGUGAGUAAUGUCUGGGAAACUGCCCGAUGGAGGGGGAUAACUACUGGAAACGGUAGCUAAUACCGCAUAAUGUCGCAAGACCAAAGAGGGGGACCUUCGGGCCUCUUGCCAUCGGAUGUGCCCAGAUGGGAUUAGCUUGUUGGUGAGGUAACGGCUCACCAAGGCGACGAUCCCUAGCUGGUCUGAGAGGAUGACCAGCCACACUGGAACUGAGACACGGUCCAGACUCCUACGGGAGGCAGCAGUGGGGAAUAUUGCACAAUGGGCGCAAGCCUGAUGCAGCCAUGCCGCGUGUAUGAAGAAGGCCUUCGGGUUGUAAAGUACUUUCAGCGGGGAGGAAGGGGUUAAGGUUAAUAACCUUAGCCAUUGACGUUACCCGCAGAAGAAGCACCGGCUAACUCCGUGCCAGCAGCCGCGGUAAUACGGAGGGUGCAAGCGUUAAUCGGAAUUACUGGGCGUAAAGCGCACGCAGGCGGUCUGUCAAGUCGGAUGUGAAAUCCCCGGGCUCAACCUGGGAACUGCAUUCGAAACUGGCAGGCUUGAGUCUCGUAGAGGGGGGUAGAAUUCCAGGUGUAGCGGUGAAAUGCGUAGAGAUCUGGAGGAAUACCGGUGGCGAAGGCGGCCCCUGGACGAAGACUGACGCUCAGGUGCGAAAGC